AGACUAGAUAAUUUAUAAAGAAAAAGAGGUUGAAUGGACUCACAGUUCCACAUGGCUGGGGAGGUCUCACAAUCAUGGCAGCAGGCAAGAGAGAAUGAGAGUCAAGUGAAAGGGGAAACCCCUUAUAAAAACAUCAGAUUCCGCGAGACUUAUUCACUACCACGAGAAUAAUAUGGGGGAAACUGCUCCCAUGAUUCAAUUAUCACUCACCACGUCCCUCCCACAACAUGCGCAACAUGCGGAGAUUAUGGGAGCUACAAUUCAAGAUGAGAUUUAGGUGGGGACACAGGCAAACCAUAUCAAGGAGUUACAGAGUUAAGAGUGGGAGGCAGUUGGAUGCCUGUGUUGGUAUCUGCAGUGCAGGGCUUGAAGCCUAGGCACCAAGAGGGGGCCAGUUAGAUUGGUUGAAAGGGACAUGGAGACCAGAGGGGCUUCUUUCCAGUUCCUUCUUUGUGGGGAACAUUGGGAUCAGAGAGGGUUCUAAGCUCAUUUCAGAAGCCCCAACAUACUUAAAUGAACAUGGCUAGAAAAACUGAAGAUUGAAUUUACUAAUCAUUCCUUGAUUCUCAUUUGUCUCAGGAUUAAGCUUUGGAGGGUAGAGAAUAACCCAGUUGAAAAUCUGCAAGCAAUGCUGUCCACAUCCCGAAUAGACUGGUCAAAAAGCCUUCAUCCCGUCAGUCACUGACAUCAACCUCAUCCAAAUCAGACUCCUAAAAACCCGGCCUAACUUAUGUGUCAUGCAAAGGAUGGCUCUUGGAAAAAUGCAAAGAGUGGUCAGGAGAAGAAACCAACAAGAAAUGUAACCUACCUCCAGAACUCAGGAACUCAGGUACCCUUAAGGAUAUCAGAAACAAUGAAAUAUGGAUUGGCAGAAGCAUCUUCACCGCCAUCUUCAGAUGUAAUUAAUGCAGCUGUUGAAUUUGGUUGACUAUCCACCUAUAAUUACCACAUUGCCCAUUACAGAUUUUUGCUGCCUUUUCUUGCCUCCUUUUCAUUUUUACAUCCACUUAUUCCGUACAGAAAUGACAGAUAAUCAGCAUUUUUGUUUUCUUGUUAUGUUGUCCUGAUAGUACAGCUACAAAUGGAUUUGAUGUGCUGAAUAAUGGUCUACUAGGCCUAAAAAUGAAAGUCUAGACGCUUAGUCAAAAAUAACUUGCAUCUAUGUGAUACUUUCCAAGAAAAGAGGAAUUAUAAGAAAAAGAAUAUUAGUUUAAUGUUCUGUAAAUUUUUUUCUUAACCUAUUCUGUCCAGUAUUUACUACUUGGCUGCAUUCCUAAAACAUAAAUUUCACAGGGGCAGGAGUCUUUGUCCAUUUUGCUCAUUAAUGUGUUAGGAAUACUAAAAAGAGUGUCUAGCGGGG
Molecule: long non-coding RNA, 1360 nt
Organism: Pan paniscus (pygmy chimpanzee)
Lineage: Eukaryota; Metazoa; Chordata; Mammalia; Primates; Hominidae
Source: Ensembl